ACACCGGCAGCUCUAGUGGUAGCAAUUUUUAUUGGGCCUAAAGCGUCCGUAGCCGGUUUAAUAAGUCUCUGGUGAAAUCCUGCAGCUUAACUGUGGGAAUUGCUGGAGAUACUAUUAGACUUGAGACCGGGAGAGGUUGGAGGUACUCCCAGGGUAGAGGUGAAAUUCUGUAAUCCUGGGAGGACCGCCUGUUGCGAAGGCGUCUAACUGGAACGGUUCUGACGGUGAGGGACGAAAGUUAGGGGCGCGAACCGGAUUGGAUACCCGGGGAGUCCUAACUGUAAACGAUGCGGACUUGGUGUUGGGGUGGCUUUGAGCUGUCCCAGUGCCGAAGGGAAGCUGUUAAGUCCGCCGCCUGGGAAGUACGGUCGCAAGACUGAAACUCAAAUGAAUUGACGGGG
This 401-nucleotide ribosomal RNA is filed under the name uncultured bacterium. Its description in RNAcentral is "partial 16S ribosomal RNA". It matches the Rfam family "Archaeal small subunit ribosomal RNA", at positions 473 to 873 of the family's 1478-position model. The record is from RNAcentral.